Molecule: ribosomal RNA, 459 nt
Filed under: uncultured bacterium
Lineage: Bacteria
Description: partial 16S ribosomal RNA
Rfam family: Bacterial small subunit ribosomal RNA
Source: RNAcentral
CCUACGGGGGGCUGCAGUGAGGAAUAUUGGUCAAUGGGCGCGAGCCUGAACCAGCCAAGUCGCGUGAGGGAAGACGGUCCUAUGGAUUGUCAACCUCUUUUGUCGGGGAGCAAAAGACGCCACGCGUGGCGUUCCGAGUGUACCCGACGAAAAAGCAUCGGCUAACUCCGUGCCAGCAGCCGCGGUAAUACGGAGGAUGCGAGCGUUCUCCGGAUUUAUUGGGUUUAAGGGGUGCGCAGGGGGACGAUAAAGUCAGCGGUAAAAUUGAGUGGCUAAACCUCAAAGAGCCGUUGAAACUGGUUUUCUUGAGUGAGGGAGAAGUAUGCGGAAUGCGUGGUGUAGCGGUGAAAUGCAUAGAGAUCACGAAGAACUCCGAUUGCGAAGGCAGCAUACUGGCGCUCAACUGACGCUCAUGCACGAAAGUGUGGGUAUCGAACAGGAUUAGAUACCCGGGUAGUC